This is a non-coding RNA of Sus scrofa (pig), 3599 nucleotides long. The record is from RefSeq and is a predicted model, not a curated record. NCBI's taxonomy places the organism in Eukaryota, Metazoa, Chordata, Mammalia, Artiodactyla, Suidae.
CGACAGCCACACCAGAGCUGAGCCACAUCUGUGACCUACACCACAGCUCAUGGUAAUGCUGAGCGAGGCCAGAGGUCGCAUCCACGUCCUCCUCAUGGUUACGAGUCAGAUUCGUACCGCUGAGCUAUAAAGGGAACUCCUUUAAAACUUUCAAUAGCCUCAGUGUUGCAGAAGGUAACUUAAAAAAUCACAAUACCUUAACACCUUGAUACUUUUACUGAUCUUUACUCCUUAAUCUAAACUUCUACGAAAUAUCCUGUCACAGUCCAUUUCUUAGGAAAAUGAGGUAGAUGUGGAAAUUGUUAGAUGGGGCUUCUGGUUAAAUCCUUUUUUCUCCUUCUGUACUGAUUCCUUUCUUUCUUUCUCUCUCUUUGCUUCCUUCCUCUUUCCCUCCUUCCUUCCUUCUUUUUUUUUUUUUUUUGAGUUGUCCUGUUAUGGUGGAGCAGCAGGUCCAGAACAUAAAAGUCAGGAGAAGCACAGAUUUAGUUUUGGGAUCUUUGAACCAGUGAAACAAUGCCAGUAGUUAUUUAUCUUCAGAAUUUUUAUUAUUAAAAAUAAUUUUUUUCUUAGGCUUUUAAGUCACUGUAGCCAGAUCUGUAUUACUAGAAGCUGGAUGGGCUUGCUAAUGGAUACAAAAUUAAAAACUUUAAAAAAAUUUGUAAGAUCACUCUUCUGCGACCUUAAAAAUUUACCAAGGUUAAAAAAUUUGCCAAGGUCACUUCUUUCUAUCCCCUAAUCCGUGGCCAGGAAGACGCACUGCUAUGCAUUACAUCCUCCUCUGUAUUCCCUGGUUGGCUUUCUGUUGGGGUCAGCCAGUGGGAGACAGGGUUGGCAUUUGGAGGCAGAGAUAAGAGAGAAUUUGGGUAUGUUUGUUUCAUCUGUCUGUUUUCCUCCAGCUUCUCUGCCAGGGCCUGCUUCCCCAACUACCACUCCUGCUGUGAGGCCCCUCCCCACAGUUCCAGCUCCCCCCAGGAACUGGGCUUCAUGACCUAUUCCUUGUCCCCACAAUUUAGAUUUUCUACUGUUGCUAGACAUCUGGAGUCUCGGCAUACCUUGCCAUCCCUUUAACCUUGUCUAUAUCUUCACUAAAGUAAGUAUUCUAGAAAGUGUUGUUAUUUCAGCCAAUCUGGGCUGAACUGCCUUUUCUGAUAGGUUCCUAAUUCUGCUAUAUAAUUCUUCAGUAGUCUAGUAGUAGUGUGGUCUAGUCAAGGUCAAUCUUCUAAGUUCAUUCUUCCUUCUGUUACACCUCAGAAUAUUUCCUAUACUUGAACUGAAUAAAUGACUAAUUAAAUUUUAUAUAUCGUGAUGUUUUACCAUAAAAAACAAAACAAACAAACAAACAAAAAACCUAAGCAAAAUCCUUGUCAUCAUAGAUAUAUAUUUGUUUCCUUGGGUGAUUUAUCCUAGUGAAAAAAUAUACCAUAAAAAGAAUACAUUAUAUAUCAUCUCUCAACAUAUACCUUUUUAUGUAUAUUACUUGUAUUCCCUCCACAUCGGUAAAACCAUGACCAAUAUAAAAAGAUAAUGCAUUCUAAUUUGCAUUGCUAGUGAGAAAAUUUUUAUAAUAUGAAUUUUAAUUUCAACAAAAUGGAAAAGAAUAAUACAUGUAGAAGCUCAUUUCCUAUGUUGAAGUCUUUAUUCAAUCUAAACACAUUCUCAUUCUGACACCCUAACAAGAACAGUGUUUUUCAGUUUUAUCUACCAAAUAAAAAAUGUAAUUACUAGAAAAUAUUCUUAUUCCAAAAUUAGAAUUCUCCAUAUAUAUUCAGAAAGCAUGCCCCUUUAGUCCUCUACAUUGUCAGACAGUGAUGACACUAAAACGAAAACUUUGCUGGGAAGUGAUCUUAAAUUUUUUCAUUUGAUCAAUUCAAAAGGGAUGUAUUUCUCUUUAGUCAAUACCAAAAUGCCUAUUCUUGCCUUUUAUCUUCUUUCCUUGCUGCUUCUGUGGUAUUUAUUCCAAUGCUUUCAUGUGAUCAGUCAUUGCCCACAUAGAGUGAAAAGGCAAGAACUUCUACCAACACUGUCACACUUUCUAUAAAACUAUUUUCUGUAUUGUUUGCUCCUUUUUCUAGUGUUCAUAUAUCUGACUCUCAGAAUUCUUUAUUUUUCAAUACAUAAUAAACAGAAGGAUAAAUGGACCUACAGAUUUACAGCUUAUAUAAAAAUCUAGCCACUAAUUCUGAGUAGUCAUAAUUUAAUCCUAAACUUGGAGACAUAAACAAUUUCCGUUACUUCCUUCUUCCCCCUGGUGAAAAUAAGGAAAAUAAACAAAGUCUUUCUCUGAUGAAUACAAAAGGAUGCCCUACAUCUUAGAAGUUACAGAUGGGCGGCAGAUUAGGGCCACAGCAAACAUAAACUAGGGCUUUCAGAGGAUAAGAAAAGUCCCACGGCGGUUUCAAAAUUAAAAUGCACCGAACUACUUAGAUCUGUCAACAUUUCACUAGGAAGAGGGAUAAGUUCAAAAAGUUCUACCUCAUUUGCUAGAUUUUGCUUCUGUAAGGCAGAGAUCAGCCACCUAGCAACAGCACAAAAGAUUCCACUCUGACAUAGUUAAACUCAUGCUGGGUGAGCAGGAAGAAAAGCUAUGUAGGAUCAGGGCAGAGCUGGAUGGCCUGCAGUUCCAGUGCCACUGGGGAGCCUGGUUUGGGAAAUAGGGACAUUCAGUCUGAGGAAUGACUUUUUGUCAGCAUUCUUCAAAGCGCAGGUCUCUGAGCGCCUCUGCUGGGCUCCCUCUCCCCCAUUCAGCAGAGUGCAUCGAACACAAACACACACACAUCACGCACAGCAAAGAAAGAAAAGAUGUCAUUCCCCAUUAACGGCCACCCCCAAGAAAGCUCAGCUGUGCACACGCUAGGAAAACUGUUCAAGUAAAGGCUGCGUCGAUCAAGAAGAUACACUGUCCCCUGCAGCUAUUUGGAGGCCAGUGAAGCAGUGAGGUUUUUCAAGUCCCCGCUCCUUAUAAUAUGGACAGCUAUCUCUUGUUCUCUCUUUCAAAGCCAGUCCCUUGGCAUGAGAUCUUGCCCCAGAAAUAACCUACCACUUUUCUUCCAGGAGAAGAGAAUUAUCUACUUAACAGUCAGGUCAUACCAGAGACUUUGGAAAAUAUCUGGAUCACAAAUCCUUGUCAGCAAGGACCAGUGAACGGAAUCUGGGCCAUGUUUUUCCUUGGAGGAUGCCCUCCCUGAAUGAGUCAACGGGUCAUUCAAGAGGCACUUCCAUCAAAUCGUCCAAGCAAUGCCGUUUUUAGCUGUGCAAUUUUGCGGCUGGCAUGGAAAGACUAAGAGCAAUUGGACACUUACGUGUACAAACACAACAUGAGGUCCUCUUUCUGGGAAGGGGUCGGAGAAAGAAAAUCAGGUUAAGUUACUGACUUAUACUGCAAAGAAUGCUUUAAUGGAUAUACAGUACCUAAGCAGCUGGACUCAUCAAGCUGGAAAUCCAUGCAGUCAACCAAGCCAUCACAGCGCCGGUGAACUGGGACACAGCUAUUAGAAGAGGUACACAUCAAAGCUCCAUCAGAGCAGCUCUCGUUGGCUGAAAAAAAGAACAAUAAUUAUCACCUUUUAAAAAAUGAAUUUCUUCUAAUAAAAUAAUAAGAG